UGUAAUCUUCAGGGCAGGGUGAAAAUCCCUACCGGCGGUAUGUUUACUUUAUUUUUAGCGAGUAAACGAGCCCGCGAGCGCCUUUAAAAUCAUUUAAAGGGUCAGCAGAUUUGGUUAAAUACCAAAGCCGACGGUUAGAGUCCGGAUGAAAGAAGAGUAAU
RNAcentral lists this non-coding RNA (161 nucleotides) under Gammaproteobacteria bacterium. RNAcentral's name for it is "FMN sequence". It matches the Rfam family "FMN riboswitch aptamer (RFN element)". From Rfam's summary of the family: The RFN element is a highly conserved domain that is found frequently in the 5'-untranslated regions of prokaryotic mRNAs that encode for flavin mononucleotide (FMN) biosynthesis and transport proteins. This element is a metabolite-dependent riboswitch that directly binds FMN in the absence of proteins. In Bacillus subtilis, the riboswitch most likely controls gene expression by causing premature transcription termination within the 5' untranslated region of the ribDEAHT operon and precluding access to the ribosome-binding site of ypaA mRNA. The record is from RNAcentral. Lineage: Bacteria; Pseudomonadati; Pseudomonadota; Gammaproteobacteria.